RNAcentral lists this ribosomal RNA (519 nucleotides) under uncultured bacterium. RNAcentral describes it as "bacterial SSU rRNA". It matches the Rfam family "Bacterial small subunit ribosomal RNA", at positions 95 to 649 of the family's 1533-position model. The record is from RNAcentral.
GUGGCGGACGGGUGAGUAACACGUGGGAACGUGCCUUUUGGUUCGGAACAACUCAGGGAAACUUGAGCUAAUACCGAAUGUGCCCUUCGGGGGAAAGAUUUAUCGCCAUUAGAGCGGCCCGCGUCUGAUUAGCUAGUUGGUGAGGUAAAGGCUCACCAAGGCUACGAUCAGUAGUUGGUCUGAGAGGAUGAUCAGCCACACUGGGACUGAGACACGGCCCAGACUCCUACGGGAGGCAGCAGUUAGGAAUCUUGCGCAAUGGGCGAAAGCCUGACGCAGCCAUGCCGCGUGAAUGAUGAAGGUCUUAGGAUUGUAAAAUUCUUCCAGCGGGGACGAUAAUGACGGUACCCGCAGAAGAAGCUCCGGCUAACUUCGUGCCAGCAGCCGCGGUAAUACGAAGGGGGCUAGCGUUGCUCGGAAUUACUGGGCGUAAAGGGCGCGUAGGCGGAUAGUUUAGUCAGAGGUGAAAGCCCAGGGCUCAACCUUGGAACUGCCUUUGAUACUGGCUAUCUUGAGUAU